Long non-coding RNA from Suricata suricatta (meerkat), 1132 nucleotides. RefSeq lists it as uncharacterized. The transcript has 2 exons. The record is from RefSeq and is a predicted model, not a curated record. NCBI's taxonomy places the organism in Eukaryota, Metazoa, Chordata, Mammalia, Carnivora, Herpestidae.
GCUAAACUGAUAAGAGUCUCCACCACUUUACCAGAAAAAGGAAAUCCCAUCAACAGCAUCUAGUUUAGGAACUCAAAGAUGUCUUAAUCCAUUGCCUGAGGGAAAAACAACCUUAUCUUCACAAUAGCUAGGCCUCCAAUAGUUUGAGUCUUCAGCAUGUAAAAAUCCCUUUAGGAACUCCUCUUGACUUUAUUUCCCUCUUACUCCAUAAAAUGGUCUUCCCCCAACACUUAUAAAACAGCUCUUUCUGCCCCUGAGUCCUGCGCCUGUGGUUUGACAAAUUCACCUAUUUUCACCAAAGACAUCUUCAAGAAUUCUUUCUUGGCCAUCCACUCUGGACUGACCCCUCAUCACCUCAAAACUUCAUCAUUUGGCCCCCAAUGUGGGGCUUUGAGUCUUUUCAUCAGAAUUCUUAGCUGGUGCAAAUUCAGAGGAGCAUGGGAGCUUCUUCUUCUGUCCCCAAGAAUUCUCUCUUCAGAUGCCAUUUGGCCCACUGGAAACAAUUUGGAUUACAAGAUCUAAAAGAAGAAAAACUAAUCUCCUACUGUAACAAGACAUGGCCUCAGAACCCCUUACAAGACAAGGAAAAGUAUCCCAUUAAUGGACAUUAAGCUUCAAUAUGAUCUUUGGGUUGGAUCUCUUCUGCAAGAAGCAAGGCAGGUGGACUGAAGUCCCCUAUGGCCAGGCUUUUAUGGCUCUAAAUCUUGCAUAAUGUGUCUAAUGACCAACCAGGUUAAUAGACCCCCUUUGGACAUAUUGGAUAAUGACUGUCUAAGUAGGCCCACUCCUCCUAGUAAGCCUUUACUUCUGGGGCAUAGCUAGCUUAUCCAAACAAAGAGGGUGCUGGCUCUGCUACUAUCCCUUCUCCUUAUAGACCCCAAGACUGCUCUGCCCCAAGUACAGCUGGACAUCCUAGGAGCGGAAUCCCCUAUCUUCUGGGAGAUCUACCCAAGUUUGGAGUGCAUCCUCUUAGGGAACUUGCUAAUGGAGAAAUGGGCACAAUUAGAAUCUCCAUGAGCAGGACACCCUUGGAGUCCUCAGGUGGAAUUGGCAGAACCUUCCAUUUCAGUGUCCAACUUUUCCCUCUUCUCUUGGUACUACCCUGAUACUAUAAUAAAAAUAAGAGAAUGAG